AUUGAACGCUGGCGGCAGGCUUAACACAUCCAAGUCGAGCGGAGAUGAGGUGCUUGCACCUUAUCUUAGCGGCGGACGGGUGAGUAAUGCUUAGGAAUCUGCCUAUUAGUGGGGGACAACAUUCCGAAAGGAAUGCUAAUACCGCAUACGUCCUACGGGAGAAAGCAGGGGAUCUUCGGACCUUGCGCUAAUAGAUGAGCCUAAGUCGGAUUAGCUAGUUGGUGGGGUAAAGGCCUACCAAGGCGACGAUCUGUAGCGGGUCUGAGAGGAUGAUCCGCCACACUGGGACUGAGACACGGCCCAGACUCCUACGGGAGGCAGCAGUGGGGGAGAUUGGACAAUGGGAGGAACCCUGAUCCAGCCAUGCCGCGUGUGUGAAGAAGGCCUUAUGGUUGUAAAGCACUUUAAGCGAGGAGGAGGCUACUGAGACUAAUACUCUUGGAUAGUGGACGUUACUCGCAGAAUAAGCACCGGCUAACUCUGUGCCAGCCGCCGCCGUAA
This 501-nucleotide ribosomal RNA is filed under the name uncultured bacterium. Its description in RNAcentral is "partial 16S ribosomal RNA". It matches the Rfam family "Bacterial small subunit ribosomal RNA", at positions 30 to 523 of the family's 1533-position model. The record is from RNAcentral.